GUCCACAAGGUGAAUCCAGAACAGGUCCACCAGGGUCUACAGGUUCAAGAGGCCCUCCUGGUCCCCCUGGUCGUCCAGGAAACUCAGGUAUCCGAGGACCCCCAGGUCCUCCUGGAUAUUGUGAUUCAUCCCAGUGUGCCAGCAUUCCAUACAACGGGCAAGGCUAUCCAGGUUCCGGCUAACAAACUUUCUAAGUCUCCAGUGCUGCUUACAGUUUGAAUACAUGAGAAUCCUGUUUCUGAGAUGUUUGCGCACGUGCUUAUUAGAAAAUGAGUCUGUAUGGAAAUCUCACGGCAGAUAUGGUUAACGAACUGGGUCGGCAUCACACAGGAGGGUGGAGACUCCAUACUAACUUGAAUGACGCAACGGGCAGUGGUGUCCGCCUGAUGCUUUUCAGCAGUAAUGUAGAAAACCAUCUUUUAAAAAGUCCGAAUGCAGCUGGGAGGAGCCCUGGCUGUGAAGGAGGUGCCCUAAUAAGCUACUAACCAGCAGAGACACGCCAUGUUAAGACAGACGAUUAACCGGGUUGAAGAGAAAGACCCCGUGUAAAUAAUCAACUAAUUGUGGCUUGUACAUGAUCUGUAUGUGAUCCCGUGUACUAAAAUUUCGUUAACCACUCAACAACCCGCUUCUGCGCUAAAGCCUGCUGGCCGUUUGCUCUCUGCAGUAAUAACGAACAGAUCUGAUCCUUUCUUGCUUGUUAGCAGUGUGUCUGAGUUCAGGGCAUGUGACUUCUCAGCAUUCUGGGUGUGUACUUUUAUUUGGGUUUCUUACCUGCAAUCUUUCAAACCAAAGUUUAAAAAUCACCGUUCCUUCCGGUUUGGCUGUAGUCACAGGUGUUCCUCACCCACUCACUGGCUGUAACUCUGCUGGAGACAUAGCCAUAGGGGACACGGUGGACUGUAGAAAACCUGGUGACAGCUCCUUUCACCCCGAGAUCAAUCUCUAGGCCCAAAUACUCUUCAUGUCCUCAGCUCUCGAAGUCAUUUGCUAACCCUGAUGAGUUUGAAGUCAUGAACAGUUAUCUGGGGAUUUGCCAAAAAAAGCCUACCUAGGUACUGUGUUUACAAUUCUUUGGCCCAAUUUCUGAUCCUUCCCAGGUUUUGUGCAAUGAUUGUGUUUACUGCUGGAUAUUUGCGACACCCCCACCCCCACCCCCACCCUACCCCCACCGCUGGCGCUCCUUAUUCGAUCACCAAAUUCACCCUGCACAUGUGCACAUGGAAAUAAUCGGAUCGCUGUAAUGCAAUACAUCUAUUUGUGGUUGUGAGAUUAAGACUGGAGUAUCGUCACCUCCAGUGAUGACUUAACUUUUGCUGUGCGUGUGUACCUUCCAAGUCAUGCUAUAACUGUAAUGUUGAAUCGGACAGAGCCUUAUGUGCCCGAGGGCGGGGCCUACCUGCCUGACCGCGAGCCCUUCAUCGUACCUGUGGAGCCUGAGAGGACGGCAGAAUACGAGGAUGACUACGGGGCAGAUGAGCCUGAGCAGCAGCACCCUGACCACAGGCGUUGGCGGCGAGCCCUACGCC
Molecule: long non-coding RNA, 1529 nt
Filed under: Rattus norvegicus (Norway rat)
Lineage: Eukaryota; Metazoa; Chordata; Mammalia; Rodentia; Muridae
Description: long non-coding RNA NONRATT028806
Source: RNAcentral